RNAcentral lists this ribosomal RNA (347 nucleotides) under uncultured bacterium. RNAcentral's name for it is "partial 16S ribosomal RNA". It matches the Rfam family "Bacterial small subunit ribosomal RNA", at positions 338 to 696 of the family's 1533-position model. The record is from RNAcentral.
CCUACGGGAGGCAGCAGUCGAGAAUCAUUCACAAUGGGGGAAACCCUGAUGGUGCGACGCCGCGUGGGGGAAUGAAGGCCUUCGGAUUGUAAACCCCUGUCAUGUGGGAGCAAAUAAAAAAGAUAGUACCACAAGAGGAAGAGACGGCCAACUCUGUGCCAGCACCCCCGGUAAUACAGAGGUCCCAAGCGUUGAUCGGAAUCACUGGGGGUAAAGCGUGCGUAGGGUGUUGCGUCAGUCGAGUGUGAAAGGCGCGGGCUCAACCCGCGUACGGCACAUGAUACUGCGAGACUAGAGUGAAGGAGGGGGAACCGGAAUGCGCGGUGUAGCGGUGAAAUGCGUAGAUA